RNAcentral lists this ribosomal RNA (144 nucleotides) under uncultured eukaryote. Its description in RNAcentral is "partial small subunit ribosomal RNA". It matches the Rfam family "Eukaryotic small subunit ribosomal RNA", at positions 1296 to 1460 of the family's 1831-position model. The record is from RNAcentral.
AGUUGGUGGAGUGAUUUGUCUGGUUAAUUCCGAUAACGAACGAGACCUUAACCUGCUAAAUAGGAGGAGGAACUUUUUGUUCUUUACUUACUUCUUAGAGGGACUUUGCGUGUCUAACGCAAGGAAGUUUGAGGCAAUAACAGG